GGAGGCAGCAGUGAGGAAUAUUGGUCAAUGGCCGAGAGGCUGAACCAGCCAAGUCGCGUGAGGGAAGAAUGUCCUAAGGAUUGUAAACCUCUUUUGUCGGGGAGCAAAAAGGCUCUGCGGAGUCGUAUUGAGAGUACCCGAAGAAAAAGCAUCGGCUAACUCCGUGCCAGCAGCCGCGGUAAUACGGAGGAUGCGAGCGUUAUCCGGAUUUAUUGGGUUUAAAGGGUGCGCAGGCGGCGUGUCAAGCAAGCGGUAAAAUAGCGGGGCUCAACCCCGUCGAGCCGUUUGAACUGGCGCGCUUGAGUUCAGGCGAGGUAGGCGGAAUUCGUGGUGUAGCGGUGAAAUGCAUAGAUAUCACGAAGAACUCCGAUUGCGAAGGCAGCUUACCAGUCUGCGACUGACGCUCAGGCACGAAAGUGUGGGUAUCGAACAGGAUUAGAUACCCUGGUAGUCCACACAGUAAACGAUGAGCGCUAGGUGUCCGGGUCGCAUGAGACUUGG
Molecule: ribosomal RNA, 501 nt
Filed under: uncultured bacterium
Lineage: Bacteria
Description: bacterial SSU rRNA
Rfam family: Bacterial small subunit ribosomal RNA
Source: RNAcentral